RNAcentral lists this non-coding RNA (362 nucleotides) under Pan troglodytes (chimpanzee). Lineage: Eukaryota; Metazoa; Chordata; Mammalia; Primates; Hominidae. The record is from RNAcentral.
GAAACUCAGGCUCAAAGUCAUAUUAACAAGUGGUGCAGCAAAAGCAGACACUUUGUUCCUCUGGUUUCCAGUCUCAGGUGGCCCUCACCCAGGAUAUGAUUCCACCAGCAUGGAUUAUUGCAAAAGUCAAGAUGCAGACAAAAUGGCAAAUCUGAGAAGAGAUGGACAGGCAAAAUGGAGCACAACGGAGUCACUACUGCUACAUCAGUGUGGAGUCGCACCUUGAGACAUAGUGUUACUUAACCAUGUUCCUUGAUGGCACAGAAUGUUAUACUGUAAUAUAGAUGUAAAUAUUAAUAUAAUAUAGAAGUAUAUAGUAUAUAUAUCAUACUGUAAUAUAGAAAUAAAUAUUAUACUUCUGG